This 77-nucleotide transfer RNA is filed under the name Alphaproteobacteria bacterium. RNAcentral describes it as "tRNA-His". It matches the Rfam family "tRNA". Rfam says of the family: Transfer RNA (tRNA) molecules are approximately 80 nucleotides in length. Their secondary structure includes four short double-helical elements and three loops (D, anti-codon, and T loops). Lineage: Bacteria; Pseudomonadati; Pseudomonadota; Alphaproteobacteria. The record is from RNAcentral.
GCGGAUGUAGCUCAGUUGGUUAGAGCGCUGGUUUGUGGUACCAGAUGUCGUCGGUUCGAGUCCGAUCUUCCGCCCCA